GGCGCACGGGUGAGUACACGUAGGUACCUGCCCUCGAGCUCGGAAUAACCUACCGAAAGGUGGGCUAAUACCGGAUAUGACCACGAACGUUUCGGCGUUUGCGGUGAAAGGUGGCCUCUACUUGUAGCUACCACUCAAGGAUGAGCCUGCGGGCCAUUAGCUAGUUGGCGGGGUAACGGCCCACCAAGGCGAUGAUGGCUAGCUGGUCUGAGAGGAUGGCCAGCCACAAUGGGACUGAAACACGGCCCAGACCCCUACGGGAGGCAGCAGUAGGGAAUAUUGCGCAAUGGGCGAAAGCCUGACGCAGCGACGCCGCGUGGGUGAUGAAGGCCUUCGGGUCGUAAAGCCCUGUCGAGGGGGACGAAUCGGUUGCGACCUAACACGUCGUGAUCCUGACGGUACCCCUAAAGGAAGCACCGGUAACUCCGUGCCAGCCGCCGC
Molecule: ribosomal RNA, 441 nt
Filed under: uncultured bacterium
Lineage: Bacteria
Description: bacterial SSU rRNA
Rfam family: Bacterial small subunit ribosomal RNA
Source: RNAcentral